GUUAGGAAUAUUGGACAAUGGGCGCAAGCCUGAUCCAGCCAUGCCGCGUGAGUGAUGAAGGCCUUCGGGUUGUAAAGCUCUUUAGCCGAUGAUUAUAAUGACUGUAGUCGGAAAAUAAGCCCCGGCUAACUUCGUGCCAGCAGCCGCGGUAAUACGAAGGGGGCGAGCGUUAUUCGGAAUCACUGGGCGUAAAGCGUGCGUAGGCGGCUUUGCAAGUUGGGAGUGAAAGCCCAGGGCUCAACCCUGGAAUUGCUCUCAAAACUGCAAGGCUCGAAUUCGGGAGAGGAUAGCGGAAUUGUCAGUGUAGCAGUGAAAUGCGUAGAUAUUGACAGGAACACCAGUGGCGUAAGCGGCUAUCUGGACCGAUAUUGACGCUGAGGCACGAAAGCGUGGGGAUCGAACAGGAUUAGAAACCCUGGUAGUCC
This 425-nucleotide ribosomal RNA is filed under the name uncultured bacterium. Its description in RNAcentral is "partial 16S ribosomal RNA". It matches the Rfam family "Bacterial small subunit ribosomal RNA", at positions 354 to 796 of the family's 1533-position model. The record is from RNAcentral.